GUUAGGGUGGCAGAGUCAAGUAUUGCAAAAGGCCUAAAACCUUUACAACAGAAGUGCAAAUCUUCUUCCUAACC
This 74-nucleotide transfer RNA is filed under the name Polychrus marmoratus (common monkey lizard). RNAcentral's name for it is "tRNA-Leu specifying UUR codons". It matches the Rfam family "tRNA". Rfam says of the family: Transfer RNA (tRNA) molecules are approximately 80 nucleotides in length. Their secondary structure includes four short double-helical elements and three loops (D, anti-codon, and T loops). Further hydrogen bonds mediate the characteristic L-shaped molecular structure. tRNAs have two regions of fundamental functional importance: the anti-codon, which is responsible for specific mRNA codon recognition, and the 3' end, to which the tRNAs corresponding amino acid is attached (by aminoacyl-tRNA synthetases). tRNAs cope with the degeneracy of the genetic code in two manners: having more than one tRNA (with a specific anti-codon) for a particular amino acid; and 'wobble' base-pairing, i.e. permitting non-standard base-pairing at the 3rd anti-codon position. Lineage: Eukaryota; Metazoa; Chordata; Lepidosauria; Squamata; Polychrotidae. The record is from RNAcentral.